Long non-coding RNA from Cryptotermes secundus, 763 nucleotides. RefSeq lists it as uncharacterized. The transcript has 6 exons. The record is from RefSeq and is a predicted model, not a curated record. NCBI's taxonomy places the organism in Eukaryota, Metazoa, Arthropoda, Insecta, Blattodea, Kalotermitidae.
UUUGAUCCAUCGAUUAUCACUCUCACCGGCGGUAUCCAAAAUGGCAGUUCGUUCAGUGGUAAAUUGUGAUGACACUCUAGUUUUCAUCAAUAAUGAUAGUGAAACAAGUGAGGUAACGAGGGCUUGUUGUCAUAAAUUUAAAAUAGAACUCAGAUCAGCACAAAAAAUUAUUGAACUGCUACAGGAAGAGAUAAACACGCCCAAUCAUACCCUCCAGAAGAGAUACUGUUCAACAUCAAGAUUGAGCCCUAUGACAGCGAACUGGAGCUACAGGUAGCCCUGAAGAAAGCACGGAGACCGAAGCUGCAGGAGGCUGUUACAGAAUCAAAGAACAGUGUAGAAAAGGUGGCAGAGUCAGUACUGGAGAGAAACUCAGAAGGAAACACAGAAGGUGGUUCCAUUGUGCUGAAUGCUACAGCAAAAUUCUGCCGCACACUGGGUGACAUCCCCACUUAUGGUCUGGCUGGCAACAGGGAUGAGGACGCUCAGGAACUGCUUAUUACAGGACUUUGGGAGGGAAACGAUUGAAGAGAAGAAACCUCAGGAAGAAGGCAAAUGGAGCUUGGAAUGAAGUUGAGACUGAUACCUGUCUUAUGAAUUUCAUGGAAAGGGACCUGGCAAAAAUAAAGUGGAGAAACGAAUGAAGAAAACUGAACAGGAAGGAUUGAUGAAACAGAUGAGCUCAACAGACACCCACUCGGAACGCUUAGCCUCCUGCAGCAGAAGCAGAAAGAAAUGCAGUCUCCAUUUGUGGUCCUUAGUG